This 349-nucleotide long non-coding RNA is filed under the name Lathyrus oleraceus (garden pea). RNAcentral's name for it is "Pisum sativum (pea) long non-coding RNA (PSAT_LNC040012)". The record is from RNAcentral. Lineage: Eukaryota; Viridiplantae; Streptophyta; Magnoliopsida; Fabales; Fabaceae.
UAGUCAUAGCUCGUUGAUACGUGGCUCCGGCGUUCUUCAAACCGAAGGGUAUCACUCGAUAACAGAAUGUUCCCCAAGGUGUGAUGAAUGUUGUCUUCUCCAUAUCCUCGGGUGCCAAGCUCGUUGAUACGUGGCUCCGGCGUUCUUCAAACCGAAGGGUAUCACUCGAUAACAGAAUGUUCCCCAAGGUGUGAUGAAUGUUGUCUUCUCCAUAUCCUCGGGUGCCAUUUUAAUUUGAUUAUAUCCGAAGAAUCCGUCCAUAAAUAAGAAGACAUUGAAUUUAGUUGUAUUAUCUACCAACAUAUCAAUAUGUGGUAGAGGAAAACAAUCUUUCGGACUAGCUUUAUUC